GAUUGUAGGCUGAAACUCGCCUACAUGAAGCUGGAGUUACUAGUAAUCGCAGAUCAGAAUGCUGCGGUGAGUGCGUUCCCGGGUCUUGUACACACCGCCCGUCACACCACGGAAGUUGGGGGCGCCCGAAGCCACUUAGCUAACCCUUUUGGGAAGCGAGUGUCGAAGGUGAAAUCAAUAACUGGGGUGAAGUCGUAACAAGGUAUC
Molecule: ribosomal RNA, 207 nt
Filed under: uncultured bacterium
Lineage: Bacteria
Description: partial 16S ribosomal RNA
Rfam family: Bacterial small subunit ribosomal RNA
Source: RNAcentral